Molecule: ribosomal RNA, 253 nt
Filed under: uncultured Candidatus Neoarthromitus sp.
Lineage: Bacteria; Bacillati; Bacillota; Clostridia; Eubacteriales; Clostridiaceae
Description: uncultured Candidatus Arthromitus sp. partial 16S ribosomal RNA
Rfam family: Bacterial small subunit ribosomal RNA
Source: RNAcentral
UACGGAGGGCGCGAGCGUUAAUCGGAUUUACUGGGCGUAAAGGAUGCGUAGGCGGUUAAACAAGUUAUAUGUUAAAUAUAUAGGCUUAACCUGUAGAAAGCAUAUAAAACUGUUUAACUAGAGUGCAGGAGAGGUAAGUGGAAUUCCUAGUGUAGCGGUGAAAUGCGUAGAGAUUAGGAAGAACACCAGUGGCGAAGGCGACUUACUGGACUGUAACUGACGCUGAGGCAUGAGAGCAUGGGGAGCAAACAGG